GAAUGUUCCCAGCAUGCCUCGAUUUGUAGUUCCCGGGGACUUCCUGCCACCGCAGCAGCGGGCGCCCUGGAGAUUUUCUUUUUGUCUUUUACGCCGUUGACAUCCUGCUGGGGGCCGAUUAAAGAACUUGAUUGCUCACCAGGAAUUCAGGUUCCUUAAGAUCUUGGCGCUUCAUCUUUAAAACCAUACAGAGCUGAUUGUUUCCAGAUCCCGACCCGGUGACAUUCCUCCCUCAUUGUUGACCUUGUCCCAAACAUCUUUUCAAGAAAAGCAAUUAAAUUGAGAUUGAAAAUAAAUUACGUAAAUUAAAUAUUAGACGUGAAAA
Homo sapiens (human) is the source of this 325-nucleotide long non-coding RNA. RefSeq lists it as uncharacterized. The record is from RefSeq and is a predicted model, not a curated record. Lineage: Eukaryota; Metazoa; Chordata; Mammalia; Primates; Hominidae. The transcript is spliced from 2 exons.